CCCUUAGAUGUUCUGGGCUGCACGCGUGCUACACUGAUUAUUUCAACAAGUGUUUUAACUGGAGAGUUUGCGUAAUCCUGAAAUGUUAUCGUGAUGGGAGUAGAGUAUUGUAUUUGUUAAUCUUUAACGAGGAAUUCCUAGUAAGUGUAGGUUUAUAAGUUGUUCUGAUUACGUCCCUGCCCUUUGUACACACCGCCCGUCGCUACUACCGAUUGAACGGUUUAGUGAGGGCCUCGGAUUGGUCUCGGCCCGCUCUUUACCGGGCGGCGCCGUUGGUCGAGAAGACGCUCGAACUUGAUCGUUUAGAGGAAGUAAAAGUCGUAACA
This 326-nucleotide ribosomal RNA is filed under the name uncultured eukaryote. RNAcentral's name for it is "partial 18S ribosomal RNA". It matches the Rfam family "Eukaryotic small subunit ribosomal RNA", at positions 1470 to 1796 of the family's 1831-position model. The record is from RNAcentral.